RNAcentral lists this ribosomal RNA (429 nucleotides) under bacterium. RNAcentral's name for it is "partial 16S ribosomal RNA". It matches the Rfam family "Bacterial small subunit ribosomal RNA", at positions 355 to 776 of the family's 1533-position model. The record is from RNAcentral.
UAGGGAAUCUUCGGCAAUGGGGGCAACCCUGACCGAGCAACGCCGCGUGAGUGAAGAAGGUUUUCGGAUCGUAAAGCUCUGUUGUAAGAGAAGAACGUGUGUGAGAGUGGAAAGUUCACACAGUGACGGUAACUUACCAGAAAGGGACGGCUAACUACGUGCCAGCAGCCGCGGUAAUACGUAGGUCCCGAGCGUUGUCCGGAUUUAUUGGGCGUAAAGCGAGCGCAGGCGGUUUAAUAAGUCUGAAGUUAAAGGCAGUGGCUUAACCAUUGUUCGCUUUGGAAACUGUUAAACUUGAGUGCAGAAGGGGAGAGUGGAAUUCCAUGUGUAGCGGUGAAAUGCGUAGAUAUAUGGAGGAACACCGGUGGCGAAAGCGGAUCUCUGGUAUGUAACUGACGAUGAGGCUCGAAAGCGUGGGGAGCAAACAGG